GUUAAAUGCAGUGAGCGUCGGUGUACGUAAAAUGGCGGACGGUGACAUUGAUUUGUACGCCGACGAUCUCGAGCAAGAUUUCGCGCAGGAUGAAUUUGCUGGUGAUGGUGUUGAUUUGUAUGAUGAUGUGAUAGCAGCUCCAGCUGGUGGUAAUGGUGGUGUUUCUACGGGAAACAGUGGAGAUGGUGGAGGUGAUACUACUUCACCAAAUGAAGAAACAAACGGUAGUGCACCUUACCAUCAACUUGGGAAUAAUAUCCAACCAAAUCAGAUUGGAAGACGCCAUCAACUAUAUGUUGGAAAUUUGACUUGGUGGACAAGUGAUCAAGACAUAACUGAUGCAGUACAAAGUAUUGGUGUAUCAGAUUUUGUUGAAGUCAAAUUUUUUGAAAAUCGAGCCAAUGGACAAUCUAAGGGUUUUUGUGUGAUAUCCCUGGGUUCAGAACAAAGUAUGAGAAUAUGUAUGGAAAGAUUACCUAAAAAAGAAUUGCAUGGACAGAAUCCAGUAGUAACAUUUCCCACUAAACAAGCUUUGAAUCAAUUUGAGUCUCAGUGUAAGACACGUCCAGCUCCUGCUCCCCAACAGAGUCAGAGUCAACGCCCCCAUAAUCCACAUCAACAUCAGCCACCAAUGCCACCUCAUCAACAGCACCCACAACAUCCCCAACACCCUCAACAUUCACAACAAAAUCAUGGUCCUAGGAUGAUGAUGGGCCCUCCACAGGGUGUAAGACCACAGAGAAUGCCACCUCCAGGCAUGGGUCCACCAGGUCCAGGUGGGCCUGGGCAGCAAGGUCCACCACGUAUGCACGGUCCACCAAUGGGUCCUGGACCAGGACCACAUCAUCCUUUACCUGGUCAUCCCAAUCAAGGUCCACCACCUCCUGGUUAUCAACAAGGGCCAUGGAAUGGACCAAGACCCAAUGGUCCUCCUGGACCACCAAGAGGUCCAAGUGGACCUGGUGGUCCACCACAACAAGGGCCACCAGGACCAGGUCCUGGUCAACAUCGACCUCCUGGAAUGAGUUGCACUAGAGACCUUUCAGAAGCCAGUUACCAUAUACCACAGCAAUUUCAUGGUGGUCCACCUGGUCCACCUGGUCAAGGACCUCCACGUGGUCCACCUGGGCAUCCUGGUGGACCUCCAGGUGAUCCAAGAGGUGCCCAACCACGUCCUGAAUGGAAUAGACCACCAGGAAUGCAUCACGGGCCUCAGGGACCACCAGGUUUCCCUCAACAUCAACAUAUGCAAGGUCCGCAACCUGGCCAAGGCCCACCACAGAGAGGACCUCCUCCAGGUUCUAUGGGUGGAAUGUUACCAGGUCCAGGAGGACCACCACCUGGCCAUGGAGGCCCACCUCAAGGACCACCACAAGGGCCCCCAGGAGGGCCUGCUCCACAUGUGAAUCCAGCAUUUUUCCCACAAGGACCACCUCAUCAGCAUCCAGGACAACAUCCACCAGGUCCUCCUGGUCCACCUCAUGGGCCACCUCAUGGUCCACCACAUGGUCCACCUCAUGGUCCACCUCAUGGACCUCCACAUGGUCAGCCACAUGGACCACCCCAUGUCCCACCUCAUGGCUAUGGACCACCUGCAGCACAGCCACCUUACGGUGCACCAGGACCUGAUCACCGCCCAGAAGGUCCUCCUCCUCUUACAGAGCAAGAAUUUGAAGAAAUUAUGGGCAGAAAUAGAACUGUUUCUUCUUCUGCUAUUGCUCGAGCAGUAUCUGAUGCUGCGGCAGGAGAAUACGCAAGCGCCAUAGAAACUUUAGUUACAGCCAUUUCUUUGAUAAAACAAUCUAAGGUUGCUGCAGAUGAUAGAUGUAAGAUUUUAAUCAGUUCUCUUCAAGACACUUUACGUGGUGUCGAGACCAAGAGCUACGGAUCCGCACGUAGGGAACGAUCACGCUCACGCGAUAGGGAACGUAGUCACAGAAGAAGACGUGAGCGGUCAAGGAGUCGCGACAGGGAAUAUAGAGAAAGAAGCAGGGACAGAGAUAGAGAGCGUGACAGGGAACGCGAUCGUGAAAGGGAGAGGGAUCGUGAUCGUGACAGAGAACGUUAUUACAGUGAACCAUAUCCACGGGAGAGAUCACGAAGCAGGGAGAGGGAUCGUGAACGUGAAAGAGAUCGGGAAUAUAGAGAGCGAAGCAGAGAAGAAAGUACGACACGUCAGUCAGCCAGGCCAAGAGUAAAAGAAGAACCGCCAGAGACGGCUCCCGUCUCGUCUUCCAAGGCGUCUAGUCAAAGCGAGUAAAAAAGUCAUAAAGAAUGAGAAAAGUAGGAAAAGUUAGAGAAACAUAUAGCGUUCAAAAAGUCUCUGAGUAUUAUGACGAUCGCUACAGAGAGCGUGAACGAGACAGAGAUCGAGAACGAGAGUCGAGCCGGAGACC
Molecule: unclassified non-coding RNA, 2396 nt
Filed under: Eufriesea mexicana
Lineage: Eukaryota; Metazoa; Arthropoda; Insecta; Hymenoptera; Apidae
Description: cleavage and polyadenylation specificity factor subunit 6, transcript variant X10
Source: RNAcentral